GCCGGCAUAGCUCAGUUGGUAGAGCAACCGCCUUGUAAGCGGUAGGUCGUCUGUUCGAGUCAGACUGUCGGCACCA
RNAcentral lists this transfer RNA (76 nucleotides) under Azoarcus sp. RNAcentral describes it as "tRNA-Thr". It matches the Rfam family "tRNA". Rfam says of the family: Transfer RNA (tRNA) molecules are approximately 80 nucleotides in length. Their secondary structure includes four short double-helical elements and three loops (D, anti-codon, and T loops). The record is from RNAcentral. RNAcentral also lists the same sequence under 48 other names. Lineage: Bacteria; Pseudomonadati; Pseudomonadota; Betaproteobacteria; Rhodocyclales; Zoogloeaceae.